This is a long non-coding RNA of Raphanus sativus (radish), 638 nucleotides long. RefSeq lists it as uncharacterized. The record is from RefSeq and is a predicted model, not a curated record. Lineage: Eukaryota; Viridiplantae; Streptophyta; Magnoliopsida; Brassicales; Brassicaceae. The transcript is spliced from 3 exons.
CAUUAUUGUUUCGAGAGCUAUCCACGGAGACACUCUUUCAACUUUUAUCUUACAACAAUACAUACUUUGAAUAUUGAGUUGUUUACGAAAACAACAGGCACUUUUGAGUUAUCAUUUUCAUCAAAAGGAAUUUCCAAAGAGAAGGGCACUUUGAGCAUCUGAAAACUCAAACAUGCUUGUGCAGUUGAAGAAUGGGAUACAACUUUCCUUGAGUGUUUGUUUUCCUGUGACAGGUUACAGCCGAUUUAUGGCGAGACAAAACUCACACCAGAUAAUUGUUAUAUAACCUUCUGAAAUACUUGGUUGGGAUGGAACCAUAUAUGCUUAGAAAGUACAUCAUUGUCGGCGGAGGAGGCGCGUCGAAGACCAGGCAGUGGAGUAUGUUCGUGAUGUGUCCAUAGUAGCAUGUUCGUAGAUGUGUCCAGGUAGGUGUGGUCAUAGUAGUGCGUACAUAGAAAAGUAUCCAUAAUAGUGUGUUAAAGUGUGUCAAUUAAAAUGUAUCUACAUGAGUACAUCCACAUGAGUGUAUCUAUUUUCUUUUUUGAAAUCGCUGCAGCUUACUCUACACAGGCUGUUGUUUGGCUAGUUUCUUCCGGUUGUUGUUUGGUUUGUUAGUACAGUGGUAAUUGUUUGUGCUC